This is a non-coding RNA of Xiphophorus hellerii (green swordtail), 375 nucleotides long. The record is from the annotation of a RefSeq genome assembly. NCBI's taxonomy places the organism in Eukaryota, Metazoa, Chordata, Actinopteri, Cyprinodontiformes, Poeciliidae.
AUCACUUUCAACACCAACAUGCUCUCUGUAUCUCUGCUGCUGCUGGCUGCUGCAUGCUGUGUGAAGUGUGAACAGCUGACACAACCAGCCUCUUUGACCGUGCAGCCAGGUCAGACUCUGAGCAUCAGCUGUCAGGUUUCUUAUGAUCUAUCCAGCUAUCAUACACACUGGAUCCGACAACCUGCAGGAAAAGCACCUGAAUGGAUGGGUGUUAUUUGGCAUAAUGGAGGUAACGCUUAUGCCACCAAUGUCGGAGGGCGUAUAGAAAUCACCAGGAACACGAAUGAGAAGAUUGUGUAUCUCAGUCUGUCUGCCAUGAAACCAGAAGAGUCUGCUGUGUAUUACUGUGCCGGAGACACACAGUGGUUAAUGUGA